This 484-nucleotide ribosomal RNA is filed under the name uncultured bacterium. RNAcentral describes it as "partial 16S ribosomal RNA". It matches the Rfam family "Bacterial small subunit ribosomal RNA", at positions 30 to 507 of the family's 1533-position model. The record is from RNAcentral.
AUUGAACGCUGGCGGCAGGCCUAACACAUGCAAGUCGAGCGGAUGAAGGGAGCUUGCUCCUGGAUUCAGCGGCGGACGGGUGAGUAAUGCCUAGGAAUCUGCCUUGUAGUGGGGGAUAACGUCCGGAAACGGGCGCUAAUACCGCAUACGUCCUGAGGGAGAAAGUGGGGGAUCUUCGGACCUCACGCUAUCAGAUGAGCCUAGGUCGGAUUAGCUAGUUGGUGGGGUAAAGGCCUACCAAGGCGACGAUCCGUAACUGGUCUGAGAGGAUGAUCAGUCACACUGGAACUGAGACACGGUCCAGACUCCUACGGGAGGCAGCAGUGGGGAAUAUUGGACAAUGGGCGAAAGCCUGAUCCAGCCAUGCCGCGUGUGUGAAGAAGGUCUUCGGAUUGUAAAGCACUUUAAGUUGGGAGGAAGGGAAGUAAGUUAAUACAUUGCUGUUUUGACGUUACCAACAGAAUAAGCACCGGCUAACUUCGUG